RNAcentral lists this transfer RNA (63 nucleotides) under Dendostrea sandvichensis. Its description in RNAcentral is "tRNA-Trp". Lineage: Eukaryota; Metazoa; Mollusca; Bivalvia; Ostreida; Ostreidae. The record is from RNAcentral.
CGGGUCAUAAGUUAAGAAAACUGUCAGUCUUCAAAACUGAAAAUACUGCUAUGGUUGACCUGA